AUGGGCUCCAGAGAAGCCCUCUCACGGCGAAAACAGGGGUUCGAGUCCCCUUGGGAGCGCCA
Molecule: transfer RNA, 62 nt
Filed under: Methylobacterium sp. 4-46
Lineage: Bacteria; Pseudomonadati; Pseudomonadota; Alphaproteobacteria; Hyphomicrobiales; Methylobacteriaceae
Description: tRNA-Und (NNN) (tRNA-Und-NNN-2-1)
Source: RNAcentral